GGGAGGGUAGAGCACGUGCUUAGCAUGCACGAGGUCCUGGGUUCAAUCCCCAGCACUGCCA
RNAcentral lists this transfer RNA (61 nucleotides) under Camelus bactrianus (Bactrian camel). It matches the Rfam family "tRNA". From Rfam's summary of the family: Transfer RNA (tRNA) molecules are approximately 80 nucleotides in length. Their secondary structure includes four short double-helical elements and three loops (D, anti-codon, and T loops). RNAcentral also lists the same sequence under 1 other name. Lineage: Eukaryota; Metazoa; Chordata; Mammalia; Artiodactyla; Camelidae. The record is from Rfam by way of RNAcentral.